RNAcentral lists this ribosomal RNA (253 nucleotides) under uncultured bacterium. Its description in RNAcentral is "partial 16S ribosomal RNA". It matches the Rfam family "Bacterial small subunit ribosomal RNA", at positions 524 to 776 of the family's 1533-position model. The record is from RNAcentral.
GACAGAGGCCUCAAGCGUUAGGCGGAAUCACUGGGCUUAAAGCGUGUGUAGGCGGAUCGUUAAGUACCUUGUGAAAUCCCACGGCUCACCCGUGGAACUGCUGGGUAUACUGGCGAUCUUGGGCCAACUAGGGGCAGCUGGAACAAGCGGUGGAGCGGUGAAAUGCGUAGAUAUCGCUUGGAACGCCGAAGGUGAAAACAGGCUGCUAGGGUUGUGCCGACGCUGAGACACGAAAGCCAGGGGAGCAAACGGG